UGUCUGAAGCAUAGAAGGUCAUGAGGC
RNAcentral lists this non-coding RNA (27 nucleotides) under Rattus norvegicus (Norway rat). The record is from RNAcentral. Lineage: Eukaryota; Metazoa; Chordata; Mammalia; Rodentia; Muridae.